UUUCCGUAGGUGAACCUGCGGAAGGAUCAUUAUCCAUCUCAAACCAGGUGCGGUCGCGGCCCCCGGGGGCUUGCUCCCGGGUGGUAGGGGUAACACCCUCACGCGCCGCCUGCCUGUACCCUCUUUUUACGAGUACCUUUCGUUCUCCUUCGGCGGGGCAACCUGCCGCUGGAACCAAAACAAAACCUUUUUUGCAUCUAGCAUUACCUGUUCUGAUACAAAUAAUCGUUACAACUUUCAACAAUGGAUCUCUUGGCUCUG
Molecule: unclassified non-coding RNA, 261 nt
Filed under: plant metagenome
Description: partial contains small subunit ribosomal RNA, internal transcribed spacer 1, and 5.8S ribosomal RNA
Source: RNAcentral